Molecule: non-coding RNA, 114 nt
Filed under: Rhodococcus sp. (in: high G+C Gram-positive bacteria)
Lineage: Bacteria; Bacillati; Actinomycetota; Actinomycetes; Mycobacteriales; Nocardiaceae
Description: Rhodococcus sp. TPP sequence
Rfam family: TPP riboswitch aptamer (THI element)
About the family: Vitamin B(1) in its active form thiamin pyrophosphate (TPP) is an essential coenzyme that is synthesised by coupling of pyrimidine and thiazole moieties in bacteria.
Source: RNAcentral
UCAUGAAUACACGGGAGUCCUGGGGUUCGCGGGGCUGAGAGUGGACGCGUUACGUCCUUACCGUCAACACCUGAACCGGAUCAUGCCGGCGCAGGGAGUGAGGUGGUGUGUAGA